RNAcentral lists this ribosomal RNA (531 nucleotides) under uncultured bacterium. RNAcentral's name for it is "bacterial SSU rRNA". It matches the Rfam family "Bacterial small subunit ribosomal RNA", at positions 355 to 902 of the family's 1533-position model. The record is from RNAcentral.
UGGGGAAUCUUGGACAAUGGGCGCAAGCCUGAUCCAGCCAUGCCGCGUGAGCGAUGAAGGCCUUAGGGUUGUAAAGCUCUUUCACCGGUGAAGAUAAUGACGGUAGCCGGAGAAGAAGCCCCGGCUAACUCCGUGCCAGCAGCCGCGGUAAUACGGAGGGGGUUAGCGUUGUUCGGAAUUACUGGGCGUAAAGCGCACGUAGGCGGACCAGAAAGUUGGGGGUGAAAUCCCGGGGGCUCAACCCCGGAACUGCCUCCAAAACUAUUGGUCUAGAGUUCGAGAGAGGUGAGUGGAAUUCCAAGUGUAGAGGUGAAAUUCGUAGAUAUUUGGAGGAACACCAGUGGCGAAGGCGGCUCACUGGCUCGAUACUGACGCUGAGGUGCGAAAGUGUGGGGAGCAAACAGGAUUAGAUACCCUGGUAGUCCACACCGUAAAACGAUGAAUGCCAGUCGUCGGGUAGCAUGCUAUUCGGUGACACACCUAACGGAUUAAGCAUUCCGCCUGGGGAGUACGGUCGCAAGAUUAAAACUC